Molecule: ribosomal RNA, 1486 nt
Filed under: metagenome
Description: bacterial SSU rRNA
Rfam family: Bacterial small subunit ribosomal RNA
Source: RNAcentral
AGAGUUUGAUCCUGGCUCAGGACGAACGCUGGCGGCGUGCUUAACACAUGCAAGUCGAACGGAGCACCCUUGAUUGAGGUUUCGGCCAAAUGAUAGGAAUGCUUAGUGGCGGACUGGUGAGUAACGCGUGAGGAACCUGCCUUUCAGAGGGGGACAACAGUUGGAAACGACUGCUAAUACCGCAUGACGCAUUUUGAUCGCAUGGUCGAAAUGCCAAAGAUUUAUCGCUGAAAGAUGGCCUCGCGUCUGAUUAGAUAGUUGGCGGGGUAACGGCCCACCAAGUCGACGAUCAGUAGCCGGACUGAGAGGUUGACCGGCCACAUUGGGACUGAGAUACGGCCCAGACUCCUACGGGAGGCAGCAGUGGGGAAUAUUGGGCAAUGGGCGCAAGCCUGACCCAGCAACGCCGCGUGAAGGAAGAAGGCUUUCGGGUUGUAAACUUCUUUUAAGUGGGAAGAGUAGAAGACGGUACCACUUGAAUAAGCCACGGCUAACUACGUGCCAGCAGCCGCGGUAAUACGUAGGUGGCAAGCGUUGUCCGGAUUUACUGGGUGUAAAGGGCGUGCAGCCGGGCAUGCAAGUCAGAUGUGAAAUCUCAGGGCUUAACCCUGAAACUGCAUUUGAAGCUGUAUGUCUUGAGUGCCGGAGAGGUAAUCGGAAUUCCUUGUGUAGCGGUGAAAUGCGUAGAUAUAAGGAAGAACACCAGUGGCGAAGGCGGAUUACUGGACGGUAACUGACGGUGAGGCGCGAAAGCGUGGGGAGCGAACAGGAUUAGAUACCCUGGUAGUCCACGCUGUAAACGAUGGAUACUAGGUGUGCGGGGACUGACCCCCUGCGUGCCGCAGUUAACACAAUAAGUAUCCCACCUGGGGAGUACGAUCGCAAGGUUGAAACUCAAAGGAAUUGACGGGGGCCCGCACAAGCGGUGGAUUAUGUGGUUUAAUUCGAAGCAACGCGAAGAACCUUACCAGGUCUUGACAUCCUGCUAACGAAGUAGAGAUACAUUAGGUGCCCUUCGGGGAAAGCAGAGACAGGUGGUGCAUGGUUGUCGUCAGCUCGUGCCGUGAGGUGUCGGCUUAAGUGCCAUAACGAGCGCAACCCCUCUCCUUAGUUGCCAUCAGGUUAAGCUGGGCACUCUGGGGACACUGCCACCGUAAGGUGUGAGGAAGGUGGGGAUGACGUCAAAUCAGCACGGCCCUUACGUCCGGGGCUACACACGUGUUACAAUGGCAGGUACAGAGAGACGGUUGUACGUAAGUACGAUCAAAUCCUUAAAGCCUGUCUCAGUUCGGACUGGGGUCUGCAACCCGACCCCACGAAGCUGGAUUCGCUAGUAAUCGCGCAUCAGCCAUGGCGCGGUGAAUACGUUCCCGGGCCUUGUACACACCGCCCGUCAAGCCAUGAAAGCCGGGGGCGCCUAAAGUCCGUGACCGUAAGGAGCGGCCUAGGGCGAAACUGGUAAUUGGGGCUAAGUCGUAACAAGGUA